AUGAUAGUGAUAGAUUUGCUUCCAUUCAUAUUCGCAGAGAAAGAAGGUUUUAGGUUGUUCAUGGCUAAAGCUUGCCCAAGGUUCACUGUACCAUCUAGGACAACUAUGUACAGAGAUAUCAUUGCUAUUUAUGAAGCUGAGAAAGCUAUGCUUAGAAAAUAUUUCAUUGAAUCACGUCAAACUGUUUGCCUCACCACUGAUACAUGGACAUCAAAAAGACAACAAAGCUACAUGGUCCUUACUGCACAUUCCAUUGAUUCUGGGUGGAAACUUAGAAAAAAUAUUAUUAACUUUGUCUUGGUAGAUGGACACAAAGGGGAUGACAUUGGGAAAUCAUUAGAAAAAUUACUUAUUGAGUGGGGCAUUGAGCGAGUAUGCACUAUUACUGUUGAUAAUGCAAGUUCUUAUGACACUUGCUUAGCCUACAUGAAGAGGUCUUUGACUAAUGCAAGAAGUCGGUAUCUUGGCAUGAGGUGUGUGGCACAUAUUAUUAAUCUAGUGGUCCAAGAUGGGCUAAAGAUAAUGUGCCAUCCAAUAAACAGAAUUCGAAGUGCUAUCAAGUUUGUGAGAGCCUCCCCAACUAGAUUGGAUUUAUUUAAAAAGUGUGUGCAGCUUAGCAAGGUAGUGAGUAAAGGUUUGAUUAAUAUUGAUGUGGUUACUAGAUGGAACUCCACAUUUAUAAUGCUAGAGACUGCUGAGAAAUUUGAGAGGGCAUUUGAGCAAUAUGCACUUCAGGAUCCCAACUACAAGACCGAGUUAGAAAAAACUGGUCCAGAACCUAAGCCUGAUACUCCUGAUCAGCGGGGUCCUCCAACUCAAAGUGAUUGGGUGUAUGUUCGUGAGUUCAAACAAUUCCUCCAACACUUCUAUCUCCUGACUAAUAAGGUUUCUGGCACUAAGUACGUUACAGCCAACACCUUCUUGGAAGAUAUUGCUGAUGUACAUUUUAUGUUGGGUGAAUGGAGUGAUCAUGUGAUCUGUGGUGAUGGUGAAAUAUUUAAAUGCAUGGCUACCAAGAUGAAAACCAAGUAUGAGAAGUACUGGGGUGAUCCUGAAAAGAUGAACAAGUACAUAUUCAUUGCUGCCAUCCUUGAUCCAAGGACCAAGGAAUCUCAUUUCUUUAAGGACAUGAUUGAAGACACCUAUGGCAGUAUAAUAGGUAAGAGAAUCUUGACAUCUUCCGACAAUGAAUUUGUUUCUCUUUUUGGAGAAUACAGAGAAUUAUAUGGAACCAAUACUCCUAGGGAAUUAGCAUCACAAGCUCGUCCUAGUGCAAAUGCUUCUGAAAAUUCUCUAGUGAGGUCACGAUACAACUAG
This 1317-nucleotide ribosomal RNA is filed under the name Triticum aestivum (bread wheat). RNAcentral describes it as "partial small subunit ribosomal RNA". Lineage: Eukaryota; Viridiplantae; Streptophyta; Magnoliopsida; Poales; Poaceae. The record is from RNAcentral.